AUUUUUCUUUCCCCCCUAUUUUAAACCUCCUUUUGGACAACGAAGCACGGACCCUUAGAGUUUGUUCGUGGUUCAGGACGAACGCUGGCGGCGCGCCUAAUACAUGCAAGUUGAGCGCUGAAGCUUGGUACUUGUACCAACUGGAUGAGCAGCGAACGCGUGAGUAACGCGUGGGGAAUCUGCCUUUGAGCGGGGGACAACAUUUGGAAACGAAUGCUAAUACCGCAUAAAAACUUUAAACACAAGUUCUAAGUUUGAAAGAUGCAAUUGCAUCACUCAAAGAUGAUCCCGCGUUGUAUUAGCUAGUUGGUGAGGUAAAGGCUCACCAAGGCGAUGAUACAUAGCCGACCUGAGAGGGUGAUCGGCCACAUUGGGACUGAGACACGGCCCAAACUCCUACGGGAGGCAGCAGUAGGGAAUCUUCGGCAAUGGACGAAAGUCUGACCGAGCAACGCCGCGUGAGUGAAGAAGGUUUUCGGAUCGUAAAACUCUGUUGGUAGAGAAGAACGUUGGUGAGAGUGGAAAGCUCAUCAAGUGACGGUAACUACCCAGAAAGGGACGGCUAACUACGUGCCAGCAGCCGCGGUAAUACGUAGGUCCCGAGCGUUGUCCGGAUUUAUUGGGCGUAAAGCGAGCGCAGGUGGUUUAUUAAGUCUGGUGUAAAAGGCAGUGGCUCAACCAUUGUAUGCAUUGGAAACUGGUAGACUUGAGUGCAGGAGAGGAGAGUGGAAUUCCAUGUGUAGCGGUGAAAUGCGUAGAUAUAUGGAGGAACACCGGUGGCGAAAGCGGCUCUCUGGCCUGUAACUGACACUGAGGCUCGAAAGCGUGGGGAGCAAACAGGAUUAGAUACCCUGGUAGUCCACGCCCGUAAACGAUGAGUGCUAGAUGUAGGGAGCUAUAAGUUCUCUGUAUCGCAGCUAACGCAAUAAGCAUACCCGUCCCUGGGUGUCCCUUU
Molecule: ribosomal RNA, 955 nt
Filed under: Lactococcus lactis
Lineage: Bacteria; Bacillati; Bacillota; Bacilli; Lactobacillales; Streptococcaceae
Description: bacterial SSU rRNA
Rfam family: Bacterial small subunit ribosomal RNA
Source: RNAcentral